This 523-nucleotide ribosomal RNA is filed under the name uncultured bacterium. RNAcentral describes it as "bacterial SSU rRNA". It matches the Rfam family "Bacterial small subunit ribosomal RNA", at positions 55 to 584 of the family's 1533-position model. The record is from RNAcentral.
AUGCAAGUCGAGCGAGAAAAGGGGGGCAACUCCCUGAGUACAGCGGCGCACGGGUGAGUAACACGUGGGUAAUCUGCCCUGGAGUGGGGAAUAACACCGGGAAACCGGUGCUAAUACCGCAUACGAUAACGAGGUCUGCGGACUUUGUUAUGAAAGGAGCAAUUCGCUCCAGGAGGAGCCCGCGGCUGAUUAGCUAGUUGGUGAGGUAAUGGCUCACCAAGGCAACGAUCAGUAUCCGGUCUGAGAGGACGGUCGGACACACUGGAACUGAGACACGGUCCAGACUCCUACGGGAGGCAGCAGUGGGGAAUUUUUGGCAAUGGGGGCAACCCUGACCAAGCAACGCCGCGUGGGUGAUGAAGUCUCUUGGGACGUAAAACCCUUUCGACGGGGAAGAAACCGCAAGGUUGACGGUACCCGUAUAAGAAGCCCCGGCUAACUCCGUGCCAGCAGCCGCGGUAAUACGGGGGGGGCAAGCGUCGUUCGGAAUUACUGGGCGUAAAGGGUGCGUANGCGGUGCUCU